This 433-nucleotide ribosomal RNA is filed under the name uncultured bacterium. RNAcentral describes it as "partial 16S ribosomal RNA". It matches the Rfam family "Bacterial small subunit ribosomal RNA", at positions 29 to 507 of the family's 1533-position model. The record is from RNAcentral.
AACGAACGCUGGCGGCAGGCCUAACACAUGCAAGUCGAGCGAGGACUUCGGUUCUAGCGGCGGACGGGUGAGUAACGCGUGGGAAUGUGCCCUUCUCUACGGAAUAGCUCUGGGAAACUGGGAGUAAUACCGUAUACGCCCUAUUGGGGAAAGAUUUAUCGGAGAAGGAUCAGCCCGCGUUGGAUUAGGUAGUUGGUGGGGUAAUGGCCUACCAAGCCGACGAUCCAUAGCUGGUUUGAGAGGAUGAUCAGCCACACUGGGACUGAGACACGGCCCAGACUCCUACGGGAGGCAGCAGUGGGGAAUCUUAGACAAUGGGGGCAACCCUGAUCUAGCCAUGCCGCGUGAGUGAUGAAGGUCUUAGGGUUGUAAAGCUCUUUCAGCUGGGAAGAUAAUGACGGUACCAGCAGAAGAAGCCCCGGCUAACUCCGUG